RNAcentral lists this long non-coding RNA (1299 nucleotides) under Nothobranchius furzeri (turquoise killifish). RNAcentral's name for it is "lncRNA (ENSNFUG00015003976.1)". Lineage: Eukaryota; Metazoa; Chordata; Actinopteri; Cyprinodontiformes; Nothobranchiidae. The record is from RNAcentral.
AUGGAAAUUUUGGGUCCAGAGAGAGUAGGCAUGUUGAAUUUGGGUUCUUUGAGUUUUGCAUUUGGUCCCUCAAUGUCAACAUAUGGUCCUUUGAUGUCUACUUCAGGUGCUUUCACAUCAAUAUUUGCUUUUGGCAGGUUGACAUCAACAUCGGGACCUUCUAGUUUCGGGCUUUUAAUUCCAAAUGUUGGCAUUUUAAUUUUGGGCAUUUUAAAGCCACCUUUGUGUCCUUCAAUGUCCAAAUCUGAGCCUUCAAUGUCCAAAUCUGGUCCUUCAAUAUCUGCUCUUGGAGCUGUUAUAUCUCCUUUCAUUUUUGGCAAAUUAACAUCCAUGUCACCCUCAAGUUUAGGGCCUUUCAGGUUAAUGUCAACAUCUGGACUUCCAAACUUUGGACCUUUAAUGUUCAGUGAUGGCAUUUUGAUUGAAGGCAUUUCAAAACCACCUUUCGGCCCUUCAAUAUCAACUUUUGGAGCCUUUAUGUCAAUGUCAGAUGCUUUUAUAUCACCUUCAAUCUUUGGUGCUGAAACAUCAAUGUCACCUUUUAGUUUUGGGCCUUUCAGGUUGAAGUCCACAUCUGGCAUGGAGAUUUUUGGUCCAGACAUAGUUGGCAUGUUGAAUUUGGGUCCUUUUAGUUUUGCAUUUGGCCCUUCAAUAUCAACAACUGGUCCUUUGAUAUCAACUUCAGGUGCUUUCAUGUCAAUAUUUGCUUUUGGCAGGUUUACAUCAACGUCUGGACCUUCAAUUUUUGGACCUUUUAUUCCUAUUUUUGGCAUGGUAAAUCCUCCUUUGUGUCCUUUAAUGUCCAAAUCAGGCCCUUCAAUGUCUAUAUUUGGAGCUUUAAUAUUUUCUUUGACUUUUGGCAAAAUAAUACCCAUGCCACCCUCAAGUUUAGGUUCUUUCAGGUUAAUGUCAACAUCUGGACUUCCGAACUUAGGACCUUUAAUGUUCACUGAUGGCAUUUUGAUUGAAGGCCCUUCAAAACCACCUUUUUGCCCUUCAAUAUCAACUUUUGGUCCCAUUAUAUGCAGGUCAGAUGUCUUCAUUUCACCUUCAAUACUUGGUACUGAAACAUCCAUAUCACCCUUUAGUUUGGGGCCUUUCAAGUUGAAGUCAACAUCUGGCAUGGACAUUUUGGGUCCGGAGAGAGUAGGCAUGUUGAAUUUGGGUCCUUUGAGUUUUGCAUUUGGUCCCUCAAUGUCAACAUCUGGUCCUUUAAUGUUCAGUGAUGGCAUUUUGAUUGAAGGCAUUUCAAAACCACCUUUCGGCCCUUCAAUACCAACUUUUGGGCCCUUGAUGUGA